GCAACCGCUGGCCGCGCCCCCUGACAUCCCCCGAGCCCCAUCCCCACCCCAUGACCAUGCACCUCAGCCCCUGGCGGGCGCCAUGUUGACAUCCCUGUCCAUCACCCGGCAACCGCUGGCACCACCCCUGACGUCACCGCAGUGCCCGCCCUCAUCCAGCCUCCUGGAAUGUUGUCAUUUCCUGUCUUUAAUUUUUAUGAAUGAAAGUGGGCUGGGAGUUUGAAUGUGCACAUUGGUCGGAGGUCUGGCUGAGGCAGGAAGGAGGUGUGCACCAACAUAAUUGAGAGAAAUGCAAACCUCGAAUGGAAUCAAGUUGUCAAUCUUCAGAUCAAGUUUCCCUCCAUGUGUGAAAAAAUAAAACUAAGAGUAUAUGACUGGUAAGUUGCAAGUGUGUUGGAUUCA
Molecule: long non-coding RNA, 402 nt
Organism: Apodemus sylvaticus (European woodmouse)
Lineage: Eukaryota; Metazoa; Chordata; Mammalia; Rodentia; Muridae
Exons: 3
Source: RefSeq, a predicted model, not a curated record